This 390-nucleotide ribosomal RNA is filed under the name uncultured bacterium. RNAcentral's name for it is "partial 16S ribosomal RNA". It matches the Rfam family "Bacterial small subunit ribosomal RNA", at positions 523 to 916 of the family's 1533-position model. The record is from RNAcentral.
AUACGGAGGAUCCGAGCGUUAUCCGGAUUUAUUGGGUUUAAAGGGUGCGCAGGCGGCCAUUUAAGUCAGCGGUUAAAUCGUGGGGCUCAACCCCAUUCUGCCGUUGAUACUGGGUGGCUUGAUUGCGGUCGAGGUUGGCGGAAUUCGUUGUGUAGCGGUGAAAUGCAUAGAUAUGACGAAGAACACCGAUUGCGUAGGCAGCUGACCAGACCGCAAAUGACGCUCAUGCACGAAAGUGCGGGGAUCGAACAGGAUUAGAUACCCUGGUAGUCCGCGCAGUAAACGAUGAAUACUUGUUUUCGGCGAUAUAAUGUCGGAGGCAAAGCGAAAGCGAUAAGUAUUCCACCUGGGGAGUACGCCGGCAACGGUGAAACUCAAAGGAAUUGACGG